ACGAACGCUGGCGGCGUGCUUAACACCUGCCAGUCGAACGGAAAGGCCCUGCUUUUGUGGGGUGCUCGAGUGGCGAACGGGUGAGUAACACGUGAGUAACCUGCCCUUGACUUUGGGAUAACUUCAGGAAACUGGGGCUAAUACCGGAUAGGAGCUCCUGCUGCAUGGGGGGGGUUGGAAAGUUUCGGCGGUUGGGGAUGGACUCGCGGCUUAUCAGCUUGUUGGUGGGGUAGUGGCUUACCAAGGCUUUGGCGGGUAGCCGGCCUGAGAGGGUGACCGGCCACAUUGGGACUGAGCUACGGCCCAGACUCCUACGGGAGGCAGCAGUGGGGAAUAUUGCACAAUGGGCGGAAGCCUGAUGCAGCAACGCCGCGUGCGGGAUGACGGCCUUCGGGUUGUAAACCGCUUUCGCCUGUGACGAAGCGUGAGUGACGGUAAUGGGUAAAGAAGCACCGGCUAACUACGUG
Molecule: ribosomal RNA, 467 nt
Filed under: uncultured bacterium
Lineage: Bacteria
Description: partial 16S ribosomal RNA
Rfam family: Bacterial small subunit ribosomal RNA
Source: RNAcentral